UUAAAAAUCUUGAUAAACAGAGUAGUUGAUUUGCUUUUCUUGACAGAGACUUGUUGUUAGGUGAAAAACAAAAAAAAGUCUUCAAUGAAGAUGGGUUUAGAUCGAUUGCACUAGUGAUACUUAGCUAGUGACGGGGUUGCGCUCGUUAACAACGCAAACUAUUGAUUGAUAGUUAGUAAGGCUAUUUGCAUAAGUAAAUAGCAAAUAAAGGUGGUAACACGAGCAUUCGUCCUUUUU
Molecule: non-coding RNA, 237 nt
Filed under: Lactobacillus kefiranofaciens
Lineage: Bacteria; Bacillati; Bacillota; Bacilli; Lactobacillales; Lactobacillaceae
Description: T-box sequence
Rfam family: T-box leader
About the family: Uncharged tRNA acts as the effector for transcription antitermination of genes in the T-box leader family. T-boxes are found upstream of many aminoacyl-tRNA synthetase genes and some amino acid biosynthetic genes usually in Gram-positive bacteria.
Source: RNAcentral